This 793-nucleotide long non-coding RNA is filed under the name Pomacea canaliculata. Its description in RNAcentral is "uncharacterized LOC112556480, transcript variant X1". Lineage: Eukaryota; Metazoa; Mollusca; Gastropoda; Architaenioglossa; Ampullariidae. The record is from RNAcentral.
UCUUCAUCGACAUCGCUUUAUCAAUUUGCUGUCGGUGAGCAACCAAGGAACGAAUGGAUACCUGAUCUAUCAUGAAGAGGUGAAUGGAGAAGGAUGCUGCGGGUUCUGUAUGCGGACAUGUUCACGUCAAUCAAGUGUUGAAAUCGCAGCUUACACUUUAGAAACAGGCGAUGUGAAGACUUUUCCGCAGCGGAAUCAGCAAUAACAGAAUAUACAACAACAAUAGUCGGUCCUCAUAAUCAGCAUCCUCGUAAUUAAUCACAAUACAACGUUUCUUCACCACUUACUCGCCUGCAAAGCGCAUCCCCAGCAGGGAGGCCGAUUCCCUCCACGAAGCUCGGCAGGCAUGGCUGAAUCACUACUCGAGCCUGACGCGCCUGGCACUGGCCCACCUGCAGUCCUCAGGAAGCAGACAAUAUAAACACCGGCGUUGGACCACGUAAAUUGCACGUAGAGUAUAAACCGCACAACGUUCUAUGUGCGGUGAACACUGUCUUGGAACAAUAGUCCACCACUAUUACCUUACAGUAAUUACAUUGUCGCCCUCCUACUUCCUAGUAUGAGCAAUGGCUUCUGCUCGUGCGGCGCCCGGUGAUUGGAUUACCUGUCGCCUGGCGGAAAUUGCCAUUAAAUUGGCAUGUCAUUACCUGCUGAUGAGCGGCCCAGACAGAGCGGCCACCUGAGAGUGGCGAGGGUUAUCUCAAGGUGUGGUGCACAUGGUGUGCUGAAUGUAGUAGUGCUGCCGUCUCUGUCUUGACAGCGCUAAUCGGCUAGACCUGGAUGUGGAGCUGAG